UACGUAGGGUGCAAGCGUUGUCCGGAAUUAUUGGGCGUAAAGAGCUCGUAGGCGGUCUGUCGCGUCUGCUGUGAAAACUCGGGGCUUAACCCCGGGCCUGCAGUGGGUACGGGCAGACUAGAGUGCGGUAGGGGAGACUGGAAUUCCUGGUGUAGCGGUGAAAUGCGUUGAGAUCCACAGGAACUCCGGUGGCGAAGGCGGCCUGCUGGACCCCACCUGACGCUGAGGCGCGAAAGCCAGGGGAGCGAACGGG
RNAcentral lists this ribosomal RNA (253 nucleotides) under uncultured bacterium. RNAcentral describes it as "partial 16S ribosomal RNA". It matches the Rfam family "Bacterial small subunit ribosomal RNA", at positions 524 to 776 of the family's 1533-position model. The record is from RNAcentral.